AGGAUAAACGCUGGCGGCGUGCCUAACACAUGCAAGUCGAACGCGCUUUCGGGCUUCGGUGCGAGAGCGAGUGGCGGACGGGUGAGUAACACAUGGGUACCUGCCUUUCAGUGAGGGAUACCGGCGAGAAAUCGCCGACAAUACCGCAUAGGCUUCUCGGUCGCAAGAGCGGGAAGCAAAGUGGCGCAAGUCACGCUGGAAGAUGGGCCUGUGGCCGAUUAGCUAGUUGGGGGGGUAAUGGCCUCCCAAGGCGACGAUCGGUAGCUGGUCUGAGAGGACGAUCAGCCACACUGGGAUUGAGAACGGCCCAGACUCCUACGGGGGGCAGCAGUGAGGAAUUUUCCGCAAUGGACGAAAGUCUGACGGAGCAACGCCGCGUGCAGGAGGAAGGUUUUCGGAUCGUAAACUGCUUUUCUCGGGGACGAGCAAGGACGGUACCCGAGGAAGAAGCCCCGGCUAACUACGUGCCAGCAGCCGCGGUAA
Molecule: ribosomal RNA, 483 nt
Filed under: uncultured bacterium
Lineage: Bacteria
Description: SSU rRNA
Rfam family: Bacterial small subunit ribosomal RNA
Source: RNAcentral